UACGAAGGGGGCUAGCGUUGCUCGGAAUCACUGGGCGUAAAGGGUGCGUAGGCGGGUUUCUAAGUCAGAGGUGAAAGCCUGGAGCUCAACUCCAGAACUGCCUUUGAUACUGGAAGUCUUGAGUUCGGGAGAGGUGAGUGGAACUGCGAGUGUAGAGGUGAAAUUCGUAGAUAUUCGCAAGAACACCAGUGGCGAAGGCGGCUCACUGGCCCGAUACUGACGCUGAGGCACGAAAGCGUGGGGAGCAAAC
RNAcentral lists this ribosomal RNA (250 nucleotides) under uncultured bacterium. RNAcentral's name for it is "partial 16S ribosomal RNA". It matches the Rfam family "Bacterial small subunit ribosomal RNA", at positions 524 to 773 of the family's 1533-position model. The record is from RNAcentral.